AGAACGAACGCUGGCGGCAGGCCUAACACAUGCAAGUUGAGCGCCCCGCAAGGGGAGCAGCGCACGGGUGCGUAACGCGUGGGAAUGUACACUUGGGUGCGGAACAACGUCGGGAAACUGACGCUAAUACCGCAUAAUAUCUACGGAUCAAAGAUUUAUCGCCCAGGAAUCAGCCCGCGUUAGAUUAGCUAGUUGGUGAGGUAAUGGCUCACCAAGGCUACGAUCUAUAGCUGGUCUGAGAGGAUGAUCAGCCACACUGGAACUGAGACACGGUCCAGACUCCUACGGGAGGCAGCAGUGAGGAAUAUUGGACAAUGGGGGAAACCCUGAUCCAGCCAUGCCGCGUGAGUGAUGAAGGCCUUCGGGUUGUAAACUCUUUUAGAUGUGAAGAUGAUGACGGUAGCAUCAGAAAAGCUACCGGCUAACUUCGCGCCAGCAGCCGCGGUAAC
RNAcentral lists this ribosomal RNA (449 nucleotides) under uncultured bacterium. Its description in RNAcentral is "SSU rRNA". It matches the Rfam family "Bacterial small subunit ribosomal RNA", at positions 26 to 524 of the family's 1533-position model. The record is from RNAcentral.